Molecule: ribosomal RNA, 253 nt
Filed under: uncultured bacterium
Lineage: Bacteria
Description: partial 16S ribosomal RNA
Rfam family: Bacterial small subunit ribosomal RNA
Source: RNAcentral
GACGGAGGGUGCUAGCGUUGUUCGGAAUGACUGGGCGUAAAGGGCGCGUAGGCGGCCGCUUGCGUCGGAUGUGAAAGCCCGGGGCUCAACCCGGGAAGUGCAUUCGAUACUCCCAAGCUAGAGUAUCGGAGAGGUUGGUGGAAUUCUCGGUGUAGAGGUGAAAUUCGUAGAUAUCGAGAGGAACACCGGUGGCGAAGGCGGCCAACUGGACGAAUACUGACGCUGAGACUCGAAAGCGUGGGGAGCAAACAGG